RNAcentral lists this ribosomal RNA (462 nucleotides) under uncultured bacterium. Its description in RNAcentral is "partial 16S ribosomal RNA". It matches the Rfam family "Bacterial small subunit ribosomal RNA", at positions 28 to 507 of the family's 1533-position model. The record is from RNAcentral.
GACGAACGCUGGCGGCGUGCUUAACACAUGCAAGUCGAGCGGAAAGGCCCUUCGGGGUACUCGAGCGGCGAACGGGUGAGUAACACGUGAGUAACCUGCCCCAGACUUUGGGAUAACCCUCGGAAACGGGGGCUAAUACCGGAUACGACACAGCUUCGCAUGGGGUCUGUGUGGAAAGUUCUUCGGUUUGGGAUGGGCUCGCGGCCUAUCAGCUUGUUGGUGGGGUGAUGGCCUACCAAGGCGACGACGGGUAGCCGGCCUGAGAGGGCGACCGGCCACACUGGGACUGAGACACGGCCCAGACUCCUACGGGAGGCAGCAGUGGGGAAUAUUGCACAAUGGGCGGAAGCCUGAUGCAGCGACGCCGCGUGAGGGAUGACGGCCUUCGGGUUGUAAACCUCUUUCAGCAGGGACGAAGCGUAAGUGACGGUACCUGCAGAAGAAGCGCCGGCCAACUACGUG